GAAGCCAGACCGGAAGGACUGGUGGAGCGCUUAGAAGUGAGAAUGCCGGUAUGAGUAGCGAAAACAGAGGUGAGAAUCCUCUGCGCCGAAAGCCUAAGGGUUCCUGAGGAAGGUUCGUCCGCUCAGGGUUAGUCGGGACCUAAGCCGAGGCCGAAAGGCGUAGGUGAUGGACAACAGGUUGAGAUUCCUGUACCACCUCCUUCCCGUUUGAGCGAUGGGGGGACGCAGGAGGAUAGGGCGAGCAGGCGGCUGGAAGAGCCUGUCCAAGCCGCAAGGCUGAUCCGUAGGCAAAUCCGCGGAUUGUAAGGCCAAGCGGUGAUGGCGACGGAGUCAUCCGGAAGUCCCCGAUUUCACACUGCCAAGAAAAGCCUCUAGCGAGGGAAGAGGUGCCCGUACCGCAAACCGACACAGGUAGGCGAGGAGAGAAUCCUAAGGCGCGCGGGAGAACUCUCGUUAAGGAACUCGGCAAAAUGACCCCGUAACUUCGGGAGAAGGGGUGCUCGUUUGGGUGAAGAGCCCGAACGAGCCGCAGUGAAAAGGCCCAAGCGACUGUUUAUCAAAAACACAGGUCUCUGCGAAGC
RNAcentral lists this ribosomal RNA (581 nucleotides) under Geobacillus stearothermophilus. RNAcentral's name for it is "partial 23S ribosomal RNA". It matches the Rfam family "Bacterial large subunit ribosomal RNA", at positions 1252 to 1831 of the family's 2925-position model. Lineage: Bacteria; Bacillati; Bacillota; Bacilli; Caryophanales; Anoxybacillaceae. The record is from RNAcentral.